UACAGAGGAUGCAAGCGUUAUCCGGAAUGAUUGGGCGUAAAGCGUCCGCAGGUGGUUUUGUAAGUCUGCUGUUAAAGCGUUAGGCUCAACCUAAUAAGGGCAGUGGAAACUAUGAGACUAGAGUAUGUUAGGGGUAGAGGGAAUUCCCAGUGUAGCGGUGAAAUGCUUAGAUAUCGUCAAGAACACCGAUAGUGCAGACAGCUUACUAGGUUCUAACUGACACUGAGGCACGAAAGUGUGGGGAUCAAACAGG
Molecule: ribosomal RNA, 253 nt
Filed under: uncultured bacterium
Lineage: Bacteria
Description: partial 16S ribosomal RNA
Rfam family: Bacterial small subunit ribosomal RNA
Source: RNAcentral